GCAGCCGCCCGAGGCCCUGCUGGGCGGGUCGGGGUGAAAAGGAGUCUGGAGUCCGCAGAAGCCUCCUCCUUUCCUGGCUUCACCUGCUCCUCCUGGUGUCUCUCCGUGGAGUCGGCGGGGAGGAGCCGCGGAAGCCGGGGCAGCCGUGACUGCACCAGGAAGAACAGCUCAGGCGUGGGGACGUGGGCUGUGAGCCCAGCCGAGAUCGCUACCAGCACAGAGGUCCAAUCCACCCCGCGUCAGGGCCUGGACCAUGGGCCUGAGGUGUGGGUGGGGGAGAUGCCAAGACCAGAAGGAGGGUGUCAACAGAGCAUCAGGAGGCACUGACCCCAGAGCCCCUCCACGUCCCCGGGAACGGCCGGCCCCCCGUCGCCGCCGAGGGCCCUCGACCAGGAUGGACAGCCAGGGGAAGGCUGCUUGUCUCCACGCCUCUCCGACGGCUCUUCUUCCGGCCCCUCCAGCCCAGGUGGAAUCCUUGAAGCUGGAGUCAGGACUGCCGGGCUUGCGGAGACGUGGGCUCCCCAGGAAGUGCUGAGCCCAUGAUCAGAGCUGCACCCCCACAAGAAGUCACCAUGUGGAUCCCCAGAGGGGAUACUCCGGAAGUGCUUCCAUUCGGCCACCAGCAGCUGUGAUGUCCCCUGACCGUGCAUCCUGGGUCCCAGGGGAUGGUGGGUAGGGGAGCCAGGCGAGGAAGUGAGUCACAGCCCUGUGGGGUGAGCUCCCCGAGGGGAAGGGAUUGCGUAGAGUACUUGGGGGAAUUUGUGAGCCUUCAAGCUGGCCUCUGCUGCGACAGGGGCCAGCAGCCUCGUCCGCUCUGUAGUCCACUCCGGCUGCUCCCUGUAGCCAGGGGUGCGGCAUGGCAGGAACAGGCCACAGGGCAAGGGAGGAGUGUGGUGGGCUCAGAAGGCUCUGGGGAGAGGGUGCCUUGCUCCUGGUGCUGAAAGGACAGCGCCCGGCUUGGGCAGAGGCCGCGCCAAGUCCUGGCGGAAGCUUUUCCGCAAACUGGAGUGGGGCGUCAUGUGCAUCUGAAUUUUUCCACUCCUCUUCUCUGGAGCCUGUCAGUGCCGUCUUGGCAAAGAUGGUUUGAGCCUGAAAGCUUUUCCCAUCUAUUUUUAAAUAAAUGGAAUUCCUGUCACUUGCAUGAAAUUCACCCCAA
Molecule: long non-coding RNA, 1156 nt
Filed under: Sus scrofa (pig)
Lineage: Eukaryota; Metazoa; Chordata; Mammalia; Artiodactyla; Suidae
Description: lncRNA (ENSSSCG00025063384.1)
Source: RNAcentral